This 582-nucleotide ribosomal RNA is filed under the name uncultured bacterium. RNAcentral's name for it is "partial 16S ribosomal RNA". The record is from RNAcentral.
GACGUAGGAGGCGAGCGUUGUCCAAAAGGGGGCCCCCUUUAAAACCCCCGGGGGUUUAAAACCCCGGGGGUUUCCCCCUUUGGGGGAAAAGGGGGCCCCAAAAUUUCCCCCGGGGGAAAAUUUCCCCGGGGGAAAAUUUGGGGGUUUUAAAACCCCAAAAGGGGCCCCCUUUAAAACCCCGGGGGUUUAAAACCCCCGGGGUUUUCCCCCUUUUGGGGGGAAAGGGGGCCCCAAAAUUUCCCCGGGGAAAAUUUCCCCGGGGGAAAAUUUGGGGGUUUUAAAACCCCAAAAGGGGCCCCUUUAAACCCCGGGGGUUUAAAACCCCGGGGUUUCCCCCUUUGGGGGAAAAGGGGGCCCCAAAAUUUCCCCCGGGGAAAAUUUCCCCGGGGAAAAUUUGGGGGUUUAAAACCCAAAAGGGGCCCCUUUAAAACCCCGGGGUUUAAAACCCCGGGGUUUCCCCUUUUGGGGGAAAGGGGCCCCAAAAUUUCCCCGGGGAAAAUUCCCCGGGGAAAUUUGGGGGUUUUAAACCCCAAAAGGGGCCCCUUUAAACCCCGGGGGUUAAAACCCCGGGGUUUCCCCUUU